Molecule: ribosomal RNA, 440 nt
Filed under: uncultured bacterium
Lineage: Bacteria
Description: partial 16S ribosomal RNA
Rfam family: Bacterial small subunit ribosomal RNA
Source: RNAcentral
CCUACGGGUGGCAGCAGUGGGGAAUAUUGCACAAUGGGGGAAACCCUGAUGCAGCAACGUCGCGUGAAGGAAGACGGCUGUCGGAUUGUACACUUCUGUUCUUCGUGAAGAAUAAUGACGGUAGCUAAGGAGCAAGCCACGGCUCACUACGUGCAAGCAGCCGCGGUAACACGUAGGGUGCAAGCGUUGUACGGAAUUACUGGGUGUAAGGGAGCGCAGGCGGGAAGCCAAGUCGGCUGUGAAAACUACGGGCUUAACUUGUGGACUGCAGUUGAAACUGAUUUUCUUGAGUGAUGUAGAGGUUGGCGGAAUUCCGGGUGUAGCGGUGAAAUGCGUAGAUAUUCGGAGGAACACCGGUGGCGAAGGCAGCCAACUGGGCUUUAACUGACGCUGAGGCUCGAAAGUGUGGGUAGCGAACAGGAUUAGAUACCCCUGUAGUC